GCCCCGAUGCUGGAAUUGGCAGACAGGCACGCCUCAGAAGCGUGUGCUCGCAAGGGCGUGGAGGUUCGACUCCUCUUCGGGGCA
This 84-nucleotide transfer RNA is filed under the name Candidatus Roizmanbacteria bacterium CG_4_10_14_0_2_um_filter_39_12. RNAcentral describes it as "tRNA-Leu". It matches the Rfam family "tRNA". Rfam says of the family: Transfer RNA (tRNA) molecules are approximately 80 nucleotides in length. RNAcentral also lists the same sequence under 1 other name. The record is from RNAcentral. Lineage: Bacteria; Candidatus Roizmaniibacteriota.